CUUGAUCGAGCCCAGGUACACCGGCCGGUCGGCGGGCCGGUCCUGCCCGUAGGUCGCCAGCACGGCCUGCGCCUC
This is an antisense RNA of 75 nucleotides. It matches the Rfam family "ASpks TB sRNA".